Long non-coding RNA from Sinocyclocheilus grahami, 244 nucleotides. RefSeq lists it as uncharacterized. The record is from RefSeq and is a predicted model, not a curated record. NCBI's taxonomy places the organism in Eukaryota, Metazoa, Chordata, Actinopteri, Cypriniformes, Cyprinidae. The transcript is spliced from 4 exons.
ACUGCAUACAGUCCUCUGGGUUCUCCAGACAGACCUUGGGCUAAACCUGAAGAUCCCUUACUGCUUGAUGACCCAAACAUCAAGGCCAUUGCAGAGAAGCACAAAAAGACUUCUGCCCAGGUCCUCAUCCGCUUUCACAUUCAGAGGAAUGUGAUCGUCAUCCCUAAGUCUGUCACACCUCAGCGUAUUCAAGAGAACUUUCAAGUCUUUGAUUUUGAAUUGAGUGAGGAGGACAUGAAGACCA